Dromaius novaehollandiae (emu) is the source of this 2880-nucleotide long non-coding RNA. RefSeq lists it as uncharacterized. NCBI's taxonomy places the organism in Eukaryota, Metazoa, Chordata, Aves, Casuariiformes, Dromaiidae. The record is from RefSeq and is a predicted model, not a curated record. The transcript has 3 exons.
CUCUUUUCUGGUUGACUAACCUUUUUAUAUAACUCUAGUGUGGGGUAUACUGUGGGAUCUUAUAUAAAACACUGAAGUUACCCAAAUGUAACUACUGGGAAGAACAAACUAUCAUUUCUAAUGUGAGGUAUGUGAAAAAAAGCCCUUUCACAUCAUUUUGUUUUCUCCUCAAAGCUGUUUAUCAAAUGGUGUAAGAUUCCCAGCUUACGUUAUUUUUCCUAGGAGUUUCAUACAAAGAGGAUUUUUCCGGUGAUUUCUCGCAAGAGGAGUAAGGUUCUAUAGCAAAACAUUACUAAAGAUCAGGUAAAGAGCUAAUCUGGCAUUAAUUUCAAUGCAUUAAUUCAUUUCUAAACCCAUAUUAUUAACUCUGUUACUUUCCCAGCCCUGUACUAGAGCUGAAAGUAGGACAUCUGUAAGCCCAGCAAUUAAACAAAUUAACAAAACCUUGUUUUAAAAAAGAUUUUGUGCAGCAGUGGUACUGCAAGUUCUAAAAAACCAAAAGUGGGUGUUUUUUCUCUGCUUUUCAAAGCUGAAGUCUGAUUCUGCUGUAAUGUGCAUCACGAUCCUGUGUCUCCCAUGUUGCAGUAGCAGCAACAAGCUUCACCAAUUGCCUUGUAAAAACAGCGUUCAAACACUGGUACCACAGAAAAACUAGCAGAGCAGUUCUGAUGUUCCUGCCAUCCAUCAGAGUCACCAGCCUUCCCACUUUUUCUUGUUGUUGUUGUUGAGGACAUAAAUUAACCUAUUGUAGUUCAGGUGCAAGCAAGCUCAUUGAUACGUGCAAUAUAGUCAGCGGGAUCUGAGCUUUUAGAUCAGUGUUGGAAACGUUGGAAACUUAGGACCAGGCCUGCAUUAGGAAGUUUCGCUCUCAUUACAAUGUUAGCUUGGGCCUGCAAAAUAAUCACAUGUACCCAGUGGAGCUCAGCCAGCAAAACUCCUGGGGUGGACACAGCUGUGCUGGCAGCAGAGCGCUGCUGCCAGAUUAACUUGUCGUGUUCAGGCCUGCAAAAUCCCCUUCAGUUGGCAUACCUUGCACCUCCAGUGAAGAGCUCUGCUGUUACUGCUGUGCUGGGUAUAACCUAACACUGACUAUAACUGUAGACAAAUCCUAGAGUAAAGCGUACGUUGGUGAGUAGCUUAGAUUUAUGUUGUGUGAUAACAAAGAGGAGAACAAGAUAUUGAGGACAAGAUGCUAAGACCAGCAAUAAGAAUUGUUUGCAGGGCUGGUAAUAAGGGUCCCUUUGCACUGGAAGAGCUCCUUUGAAAAAUUCCCACUCCAUAAAUCAAAUUGUUUUCUGGAAGUUACAUUUCUUGUGUGUGCCAGUUUCCACCGGCUGCAGGAACAUCUGCUGAUGUGACUAGAUUUUCUUUAUUUCAGAAACACGGAGUGUGUACGCCCUCGCACUGGUAGCUUUCUUAUGCUGAACAGUGUCUAUUACAGGAGGAUUGCUCCUUGUAGUAGAAAGGACUUGGGUCUACAGCCAGAUCACCGUGGGACUGUAAAUGGUGUUUAGCAGAUACUACAGGGAGUAAGAGUGUGCCUGCUUCACAAUCACAGUAAAGGACUACAAAAAAAAAAAUAAUAUGGCAGUAUAUCAGGUUCAAAGUAUUUAUCCUGUCAUCACAUGCAUCUGCCUUAGGUUAUCAGAAAACCACAGAGAAUUACACCAGUGAGGAAAUAUUUGAAGGUCAGUCCAGGAUCAGUCUGGGUGACAGGCAAGGAGUGUGCUUUUACCAAACUUUCUGUCUCUGAUAUGUGUUGAUGUAGGAGCGGUCAUGUGUUCCUGGGAGCCGACAGCUCCAGAAUUCAUUAGUGUAUGUGGACUGGUUUGGUUGGUCUUUCUUCCUGAUGUGAAUGUGAGAAGGCUCAGACUGUGGUUGCAGAGAAACAUGACUGUGAUCAAAAUCAAUUGUCCUAAGCACUUCAGCAUGGAAAACAGUACAAGAAGUAGAGGGCAUCAAAUAGAGUUUAAAUUACUGAGCACAUAGAAAACACCUCUUGAUCAGGAGGUUCCUGAACUGGAGACUGAGAGGUUGGUUGAAUAUUCAGGGUUAGCUGUCCACUGUAUUGUGAAGUUAUCUAGUGCAAGAAGCCUUCUAAAAGGACCUGUAGUCAGAGGAACUCCUAUCUACUCUGUAAAAUGCAGCAAGAGCAACAUCAGCUGUCUGCUUAAGAACUUGAAAAUGUGGAAGCAAUGACAUGCAUUCAGGGAACAUUUUAGAGGACAGACAUCGAGGCUGGCUAAAAUAACUUUUUAUCCUACAAAAUACAGUAAAAAAUAAAAAUCCUACAAUGAACAGUUGGAAAAAAAGCAACCAAACAAAAAUACUCACAGUGUCAGUCCUGAUGAUCUUACACUUGACUUUUUUUGCAUCUCCUGUGAAAUCCUGGUCUGAUAUCAGAAUCACAGUCUUCAUCACUUACCAUUCUAGCCCUUUUGGCUACAGAAGAAGUUGGGUAUGUGAAUUCUAACAUCUGAAAAAAAGAAGACAGCAAAUAAAAUCCCACAACUCUAUUUUUUUAAUAAUCUCAAAUCUGAUAAUAUAAUCUUUCAAUUUUAGAAGAGCCCGUUUAGGCUCUUGGAGCUAGAAAUAUCAAAGCUAUACAGCAUAUCUAUACCAAAACAUUAUGCUUUCUUCAACAACUUCAGCUUUCUAGUAAUGUAUAGCUCCUGUGCUAUAUUUUUUUAGGAGCACCAAAAUUACUUGCGAACUAUGUUACUAAACCAGCCGUCCACACAUACCUUCAGGUACUCCAUGCUCCCUAGAUCUCUGGAUGACUGCAGCAAAAGCUGUUGCUGUAUCUUUGUCGAGCUACAGAGCCCACGAUUUUAUGCUGCCCUUUUCUUCAAGCAGUUUUCCUCCAAAGAAAAUGUUCUU